This is a long non-coding RNA of Acinonyx jubatus (cheetah), 3738 nucleotides long. RefSeq lists it as uncharacterized. The record is from RefSeq and is a predicted model, not a curated record. NCBI's taxonomy places the organism in Eukaryota, Metazoa, Chordata, Mammalia, Carnivora, Felidae. The transcript is spliced from 3 exons.
CUUCUCAAGUCCUGGCAUUUUCAUGCCUGCAGAGAGCUGCUGAGCUCACCACAGCAUGCUCAUCUUGCUCUGGAAUGGGGAAAUAGCACUUCCUGACCGAAGACUCAUGUUUGAAAACUCCCAUCAGAAGGAAAACUCAAGGAGAAGCAAUCAUUUCGGGACAGCCAAGUCCAUGUCAGAUGUGGAGGAUCCAAAGAGUAUGACAUGCUCCCUCGGCUGCUCAUAGUUCCCAAGGAAAUGAAGAAGGAGCUAAUGGUUCUGUCUGGGAAAGCCAGGAAAUGCUUCACAGAAGCUGUGACAUUUGACAUGGAUCAUACAAGAUGAGGAGGAGUGUACAGGGUGAAGAGCCAAAGAUAUUUUCUCGAUGAGAAAACUGAAGCCCGGCAGGAUUGGAUAACUUAUCUAAAGUCCUGCAACGAGUAAGUGAAAAACAGAAUGCAAAAUCGACCUCUUCCUGUGACACGGGAUUGCGCCUUUUCCUCUGUGUCAGCUCUUGGAGUUGUCGUUCUCCGUCACAACUAGGCUGUGACCAGAGGCCGCCUGGACCCAGGUCCCGGCCUCUACAACCUCUGCAGUGCCCCAAGCCUGACUCUGCCGCCGGGUGUGGCCGCUGCCCUUUCUCCACAGUGCUGAAAACAUACUCUUAAAAUCCUGGCCUGAAAUCAUUCAGCGAAUUGUGAGUCAUCCAGCAACAGAAUACUAUGGAGCCCUUAAAAAGUAUAUUUAGAGGGUUUUUAUGGGCAUGAAAAGAAAUGCUUGUAUAUAAAACUAAUAAUAAUAGACAAAUACCUGUAUUCAUAGCAUGAGAUCACCAAUAGAAAAAAAAAAAAAAUCCUAGAGGAAAAGCCAGAAAGGAAAGUCACCAAAUGCUAACAGUGGUUAUUUCUAGAUGAUGGACUUACGGGUGCCUAUUUCUCCUUCUUUUGACUUUUCCAUAUCUCACAAUUUUCCACAAUAGACAUGCAUGGCUCUACAAUGGGGAGAGGAGGAGGGUAGAAUAUUUAACACCUGACUGUGGCUUGAGGACUGUGUGACAUCCUUUUCCCAGGCACUUCCAAGGCCCAGGCUGGAGCGGUUCCAUGUGUGGAGCCUGCCAGAGCCUCCCAGCAGGCAGCUGCGCCUGGGAAAACAGGCCCUUCCGCGGGGGUGGGCAUCUGGGUUUGAUUUCUCCACCCUCCUGUUCUCCUUUCUCGCUUCACCUGAAUAUCCCCUGGAGAAGGCACAGGCUGCAGCCUGAAUCCAGCCCGUCCCUCCCCAGCCAGUCUGCAUCUUCAGCCCUGCAGCCCCAAACCAGACACCCUGCCCUGACUGCCCAAGACGAGAGCCUGCCGGGUGACAACUUCUAUUCUGGGGGCCUCAGAAAACUCCCCUAGCCCUGUGUCGCUAUGUGUGCAGACUUCUCAUAAGACAGUGAGAACCAGAAAGGCACCCAGGAACCCAGAAUGUAAAAGGAACUAUCGCCUCCCUCUCAUUGCUGUCACCCAGGACCACAUAGGAGGCUUCAGCAACUGCUUCUGUCCACGCCCUUCUUCCUUUGACGUGCAUUUAAUCAGGGCUUCCUGAGGGGGAAGUUGAGUAGUCCCUGCCUGGAGGGGUCAGUUCCACUGGGAGAGACUCCAGACGACACCCUGGAUUAGCAGGAGGGUCGAUGCCACUUCCAGGGGGGGGCUGGGUGAGCGGCAGAUCCUAUGUCUGGGAAAGGCUGGCCAGGAACAGGGGGUCCGGGCUGGAUGCCUGAUAGAUGAGGGGUGAUCAGACAGAAGAGAGCUAGGUGAGUGUUUUGUGCAAAGGCAGCGGCAUGAGCAAAGGAGCAGACACACAAAUGAGAGCGUGUGAGGCGUCUGGCAGGAGGUAAGGUGGUUAGAACUGCACUGUCAGUCCUGCCUGCAGAGCCGAGGAGGUAGGAGCUCCUUCUGGCAGAGGAGCCAGGAGCAGACCUGCCGUUAGAUGGGAGACUGUAGCCACACAGGAGACAGAGCCAAAGCAGGACAUCCAUGGAGCAAGGAGGGGGAGGGGGUGGCAGGCAUUCUAUCGCCCUGCCCCCUACGCUGCCCUGGAAAUCCAGCCUGGAAUAAGAACCACAUAUUUAUUCAGCUCUGGUCUUUAAAUGAGGAACUUCAGCCUUUCACAGUCCUCCCAUGCCUGCAGACUUGCCACUGGGAACCAGAGAAGGUUACUCCCAUCCCUGGAGGCCCUAGCCUGUGACUAUGAACCUGGAAGAAGCUGGCAGUUUUAUUUGUCAGACAGACUAGAGCAUAGAGGGAGCUAUUCUGCAAGAAAUGAGGCAAAGCUGUAGUAAUCAAAACAGUAUGGUACGGGCACAAAAAAAUAGACAUAAAGAUCAAUAGAGCAGAACAGAAAACCCAGAAAUGAACCCACAAUGAUAUGGUCAAUUAAUCUUUAACAAAGCAGGAAAGAAUAGCCAAUGGGAAAAAGACAGUCUCUUCAAUAAAUGGUGUUGGGAAAACUGGUCAGCUACAUGCAAAAGAAUGAAACUGGAUACUCUCUCACACCAUAUCACAAAAAAUAAAUUUAAAAUGGAUUAGAGACCUAAAUAUGAAACCAGAACCCAUAAAAAUCCUAGAAAAGAGCACAGGCAAUAAGAUUUCUGACAUCAAGCAUAGCAACUUUUUUCUAGCUAUGUCUCUUGAGGCAAGGGAAAUAAAAGCAAAACUAAACUAUUGGGAUUACCAAAAAGAAAACCUUCUGCACAGUGAAGGAAACAAUCAAUAAAACUAAAAGGCAACACACAGAAUGGGAGAAGAUAUUUGCAAAUGACAUACCUGAUAAAGGGUUAGCAUCCAAAAUAUAUAAAGAACUUAUAUAAAUCAACACCCAAAAAACAAAGGAUCCAAUUAAAAAAUGAGCAGAAGAUAUGGAUAGACAUUUUCCCAAAGAUGACAUCCAGACAUUCAUGACUGGCCAACAUACAUGAAAAGAUGCUCAACAUCCCUCAUCAUCAGGGAAAUGCAAAUCAAAACUACAGUGAGAUGCCACCUUGCACCUGUCAGAAUGGCUAAAAUCAAAAACACAGAAAGUAACAGGUGUUGAUGAGGAUGUGGAGAAAGGGGAGCCCUCUUGCACGGUUGGUGGGAAUGAAAACUGGUGUAGCCACUGUAGAAAAUAGUAUGGCAGUUCCUCAAAAAGUUAAAAAUAGAACUACCCUAUAAUCCAGUAAUCAUACUACUGAGUAUUUACCCAAAAGAUACACAAUCACUAAUUCAAAGGGAUACAUGCACCCCUAUGUUUAUAGUAGCAUUAUUUAUAAUAGCCAAAGUAUGGAAGCAGCCCAAGUGUCCAUUGACUGGCAAACAGAUAAAGAACAAAUACAUACAAUGGAAUAUUAUUCAGCCACAAAAAUUAAUGAAAUCUUGCCAAUUGCAAUGACAUGGAUGGAGCUAGAGAUUAUAAUGCUAGGUGAAAUAAAUCAGCCAGAGAAAGACAAAUACCAUAUUAUUUUACUCACAUGAAAUUUAAGAAACAAAACAAAUGAGCAACGGGAAAAAAGAGAGGGAGAGAGAUAGGCCAAGAAACAGACUCUUAACUAAAGAGAACACACUAAUGGUAAUUGGGGGCGGGGCAGGGGGGUGGAUUAAAGAGUGCACUCGUUGUGAUGAGCACUGGAUGCCAUAUGGAAGUAGUGAAUUAUUAUAUUGUACACCAAAAACUAAUAUUACACUGUAUGUUAACUAUACUUAAAUUAAAGUUAGAAAAACAAAUGAGGUUGGAGCCCGCUUC